UGGCACGUGCCGCCGUUGCUAUACAUGCAAGUCGAGCGGACAGAAGGGAGCUUGCUCCCGGAUGUUAGCGGCGGACGGGUGAGUAACACGUGGGUAACCUGCCUGUAAGACUGGGAUAACUCCGGGAAACCGGAGCUAAUACCGGAUAGUUCCUUGAACCGCAUGGUUCAAGGAUGAAAGACGGUUUCGGCUGUCACUUACAGAUGGACCCGCGGCGCAUUAGCUAGUUGGUGGGGUAAUGGCUCACCAAGGCGACGAUGCGUAGCCGACCUGAGAGGGUGAUCGGCCACACUGGGACUGAGACACGGCCCAGACUCCUACGGGAGGCAGCAGUAGGGAAUCUUCCGCAAUGGACGAAAGUCUGACGGAGCAACGCCGCGUGAGUGAUGAAGGUUUUCGGAUCGUAAAGCUCUGUUGUUAGGGAAGAACAAGUGCGAGAGUAACUGCUCGCACCUUGACGGUACCUAACCAGAAAGCCACGGCUAACUACGUGCCAGCAGCCGCGGUAAUACGUAGGUGGCAAGCGUUGUCCGGAAUUAUUGGGCGUAAAGGGCUCGCAGGCGGUUUCUUAAGUCUGAUGUGAAAGCCCCCGGCUCAACUGGGGAGGGUCAUUGGAAACUGGGAAACUUGAGUGCAGAAGAGGAGAGUGGAAUUCCACGUGUAGCGGUGAAAUGCGUAGAGAUGUGGAGGAACACCAGUGGCGAAGGCGACUCUCUGGUCUGUAACUGACGCUGAGGAGCGAAAGCGUGGGGAGCGAACAGGAUUAGAUACCCUGGUAGUCCACGCCGUAAACGAUGAGUGCUAAGUGUUAGGGGGUUUCCGCCCCUUAGUGCUGCAGCUAACGCAUUAAGCACUCCGCCUGGGGAGUACGGUCGCAAGACUGAAACUCAAAGGAAUUGACGGGGGCCCGCACAAGCGGUGGAGCAUGUGGUUUAAUUCGAAGCAACGCGAAGAACCUUACCAGGUCUUGACAUCCUCUGACAACCCUAGAGAUAGGGCUUUCCCUUCGGGGACAGAGUGACAGGUGGUGCAUGGUUGUCGUCAGCUCGUGUCGUGAGAUGUUGGGUUAAGUCCCGCAACGAGCGCAACCCUUGAUCUUAGUUGCCAGCAUUCAGUUGGGCACUCUAAGGUGACUGCCGGUGACAAACCGGAGGAAGGUGGGGAUGACGUCAAAUCAUCAUGCCCCUUAUGACCUGGGCUACACACGUGCUACAAUGGACAGAACAAAGGGCUGCAAGACCGCAAGGUUUAGCCAAUCCCAUAAAUCUGUUCUCAGUUCGGAUCGCAGUCUGCAACUCGACUGCGUGAAGCUGGAAUCGCUAGUAAUCGCGGAUCAGCAUGCCGCGGUGAAUACGUUCCCGGGCCUUGUACACACCGCCCGUCACACCACGAGAGUUUGCAACACCCGAAGUCGGUGAGGUAACCUUUAUGGAGCCAGCCGCCGAAGGUGACAGAGGAAAGGA
Molecule: ribosomal RNA, 1463 nt
Filed under: Bacillus sp. cp-h61
Lineage: Bacteria; Bacillati; Bacillota; Bacilli; Caryophanales; Bacillaceae
Description: bacterial SSU rRNA
Rfam family: Bacterial small subunit ribosomal RNA
Source: RNAcentral